This 407-nucleotide ribosomal RNA is filed under the name uncultured rumen bacterium. Its description in RNAcentral is "bacterial SSU rRNA". It matches the Rfam family "Bacterial small subunit ribosomal RNA", at positions 354 to 776 of the family's 1533-position model. The record is from RNAcentral.
GUGGGGAAUAUUGGGCAAUGGGCGAAAGCCUGACCCAGCGACGCCGCGUGAGGGAAGAAGGUCUUCGGAUUGUAAACCUCUUUCAGCAGGGAAGAAAAGAUGACGGUACCUGCAGAAGAAGUCACGGCUAACUACGUGCCAGCAGCCGCGGUAAUACGUAGGUGGCGAGCGUUAUCCGGAAUUACUGGGUGUAAAGGGUGUGUAGGCGGGAUUGCAAGUCAGGCGUGAAAUGGGAAGGCUCAACCAUCCAGCUGCGCUUGAAACUGUAAUUCUUGAGAGUGGGAGAGGUAAACGGAAUUCCUGGUGUAGUAGUGAAAUGCGUAGAUAUCAGGAGGAACACCGGUGGCGAAGGCGGUUUACUGGACCACAACUGACGCUGAGACACGAAAGCGUGGGGAGCAAACAGG